RNAcentral lists this ribosomal RNA (331 nucleotides) under uncultured eukaryote. Its description in RNAcentral is "partial 18S ribosomal RNA". It matches the Rfam family "Eukaryotic small subunit ribosomal RNA", at positions 1470 to 1796 of the family's 1831-position model. The record is from RNAcentral.
CCCUUAGAUGUUCUGGGCCGCACGCGCGCUACACUGACGGAUUCAACGAGCUUACAACCUUGGCCGAAAGGUCUGGGUAAUCUCCAAAAUCCGUCGUGAUGGGGAUAGAUUAUUGCAAUUAUUAAUCUUCAACGAGGAAUGCCUAGUAAGCGCAAGUCAUCAGCUUGCGUUGAUUACGUCCCUGCCCUUUGUACACACCGCCCGUCGCUACUACCGAUUGAACGGUUUAGUGAGGGCCUCGGAUUGGUCUCGGCCCGCUCUUUACCGGGCGGCGCCGUUGGUCGAGAAGACGCUCGAACUUGAUCGUUUAGAGGAAGUAAAAGUCGUAACA